GACCCCGUAGCUCAGUGGUAGAGCACUCGCCUUUUAAGCGAGGUGUCCCGGGUUCGAAUCCCGGCGGGGUCA
RNAcentral lists this transfer RNA (72 nucleotides) under Elusimicrobiota bacterium. RNAcentral describes it as "Elusimicrobia bacterium (groundwater metagenome) tRNA-Lys". It matches the Rfam family "tRNA". From Rfam's summary of the family: Transfer RNA (tRNA) molecules are approximately 80 nucleotides in length. Their secondary structure includes four short double-helical elements and three loops (D, anti-codon, and T loops). Further hydrogen bonds mediate the characteristic L-shaped molecular structure. tRNAs have two regions of fundamental functional importance: the anti-codon, which is responsible for specific mRNA codon recognition, and the 3' end, to which the tRNAs corresponding amino acid is attached (by aminoacyl-tRNA synthetases). tRNAs cope with the degeneracy of the genetic code in two manners: having more than one tRNA (with a specific anti-codon) for a particular amino acid; and 'wobble' base-pairing, i.e. permitting non-standard base-pairing at the 3rd anti-codon position. The record is from RNAcentral. Lineage: Bacteria; Pseudomonadati; Elusimicrobiota.